AGACCCGAAACCCGGUGAUCUAGCCAUGGGCAGGUUGAAGGUUGGGUAACACUAACUGGAGGACCGAACCGACUAAUGUUGAAAAAUUAGCGGAUGACCUGUGGCUGGGGGUGAAAGGCCAAUCAAACCGGGAGAUAGCUGGUUCUCCCCGAAAGCUAUUUAGGUAGCGCCUCGUGAAUUCAUCUCCGGGGGUAGAGCACUGUUUCGGCUAGGGGGCCAUCCCGGCUUACCAACCCGAUGCAAACUGCGAAUACCGGAGAAUGUUAUCACGGGAGACACACGGCGGGUGCUAACGUCCGUCGUGAAGAGGGAAACAACCCAGACCGCCAGCUAAGGUCCCAAAGUCAUGGUUAAGUGGGAAACGAUGUGGGAAGGCCCAGACAGCCAGGAUGUUGGCUUAGAAGCAGCCAUCAUUUAAAGAAAGCGUAAUAGCUCACUGGUCGAGUCGGCCUGCGCGGAAGAUGUAACGGGGCUAAACCAUGCACCGAAGCUGCGGCAGCGAACGUAUCACUUAAAGCGAUUCAGCGGGUUACGAUUGACGGAGCGAAGCGACGUCAAAGCGUAUACA
This 568-nucleotide ribosomal RNA is filed under the name Salmonella enterica subsp. enterica serovar Infantis. RNAcentral's name for it is "partial 23S ribosomal RNA". It matches the Rfam family "Bacterial large subunit ribosomal RNA", at positions 711 to 1255 of the family's 2925-position model. RNAcentral also lists the same sequence under 4 other names. Lineage: Bacteria; Pseudomonadati; Pseudomonadota; Gammaproteobacteria; Enterobacterales; Enterobacteriaceae. The record is from RNAcentral.